UCCUGGUUAACCCAGGCAGUCUCAUUAGAGUCCCCACCUUAAAUGUUGGCAACUAAUGAUAAGGGUUGCGCUCGUUGCGGGACUUAACCCAACACCUCACGGCACGAGCUGACGACAGCCAUGCAGCACCUAUACAAAGGUCCUUACGGAACACGCCGUUUCUGGCGCUGUCCUCUGUACUUCGAGCCUGGGUAAGGUUCUUCGCGUUGCGUCGAAUUAAACCACAUGCUCCACUGCUUGUGCGGGCCCCCGUCAAUUCUUUUGAGUUUCACCCUUGCGAGCGUACUCCUCAGGCGGUAUACUUAUCGCGUUCGCUUCGACACAGCCAGGGUUGAGCCCAGCUACAUCAAGUAUACAUCGUUUACGGCAAGGACUAC
This 377-nucleotide unclassified non-coding RNA is filed under the name uncultured Simkaniaceae bacterium. Its description in RNAcentral is "contains 16S-23S intergenic spacer region". The record is from RNAcentral. Lineage: Bacteria; Pseudomonadati; Chlamydiota; Chlamydiia; Parachlamydiales; Simkaniaceae.